This 1075-nucleotide ribosomal RNA is filed under the name Salmonella enterica subsp. enterica serovar Hvittingfoss. RNAcentral's name for it is "partial 23S ribosomal RNA". It matches the Rfam family "Bacterial large subunit ribosomal RNA", at positions 1083 to 2141 of the family's 2925-position model. The record is from RNAcentral. Lineage: Bacteria; Pseudomonadati; Pseudomonadota; Gammaproteobacteria; Enterobacterales; Enterobacteriaceae.
GCCCAGACAGCCAGGAUGUUGGCUUAGAAGCAGCCAUCAUUUAAAGAAAGCGUAAUAGCUCACUGGUCGAGUCGGCCUGCGCGGAAGAUGUAACGGGGCUAAACCAUGCACCGAAGCUGCGGCAGCGACACUGUGUGUUGUUGGGUAGGGGAGCGUUCUGUAAGCCUGUGAAGGUGGCCUGUGAGGGUUGCUGGAGGUAUCAGAAGUGCGAAUGCUGACAUAAGUAACGAUAAAGCGGGUGAAAAGCCCGCUCGCCGGAAGACCAAGGGUUCCUGUCCAACGUUAAUCGGGGCAGGGUGAGUCGACCCCUAAGGCGAGGCCGAAAGGCGUAGUCGAUGGGAAACGGGUUAAUAUUCCCGUACUUGGUGUUACUGCGAAGGGGGGACGGAGAAGGCUAUGUUGGCCGGGCGACGGUUGUCCCGGUUUAAGCGUGUAGGUGUGUGUUCCAGGUAAAUCCGGUUCACUUUAACACUGAGGCGUGACGACGAGGCACUACGGUGCUGAAGCAACAAAUGCCCUGCUUCCAGGAAAAGCCUCUAAGCAUCAGGUAACAUCAAAUCGUACCCCAAACCGACACAGGUGGUCAGGUAGAGAAUACCAAGGCGCUUGAGAGAACUCGGGUGAAGGAACUAGGCAAAAUGGUGCCGUAACUUCGGGAGAAGGCACGCUGACACGUAGGUGAAGUGAUUUACUCACGGAGCUGAAGUCAGUCGAAGAUACCAGCUGGCUGCAACUGUUUAUUAAAAACACAGCACUGUGCAAACACGAAAGUGGACGUAUACGGUGUGACGCCUGCCCGGUGCCGGAAGGUUAAUUGAUGGGGUCAGCGCAAGCGAAGCUCCUGAUCGAAGCCCCGGUAAACGGCGGCCGUAACUAUAACGGUCCUAAGGUAGCGAAAUUCCUUGUCGGGUAAGUUCCGACCUGCACGAAUGGCGUAAUGAUGGCCAGGCUGUCUCCACCCGAGACUCAGUGAAAUUGAACUCGCUGUGAAGAUGCAGUGUACCCGCGGCAAGACGGAAAGACCCCGUGAACCUUUACUAUAGCUUGACACUGAACAUUGAGCCUUGAUGUGUAG